This 498-nucleotide ribosomal RNA is filed under the name uncultured bacterium. RNAcentral describes it as "partial 16S ribosomal RNA". It matches the Rfam family "Bacterial small subunit ribosomal RNA", at positions 28 to 507 of the family's 1533-position model. The record is from RNAcentral.
GACGAACGCUGGCGGCGUGCCUAAUACAUGCAAGUCGAGCGGACGGAUGGGAGCUUGCUCCCAGACCGUCAGCGGCGGACGGGUGAGUAACACGUGGGCAACCUGCCUGUAAGACUGGGAUAACUCCGGGAAACCGGGGCUAAUACCGGAUAACUCUUUCCCUCACAUGAGGGAAAGCUGAAAGAUGGCAUCUCGCUAUCACUUACACAUGGGCCCGCGGCGCAUUAGCUAGUUGGUGAGGUAACGGCUCACCAAGGCGACGAUGCGUAGCCGACCUGAGAGGGUGAUCGGCCACACUGGGACUGAGACACGGCCCAGACUCCUACGGGAGGCAGCAGUAGGGAAUCUUCCGCAAUGGACGAAAGUCUGACGGAGCAACGCCGCGUGAGUGAUGAAGGUUUUCGGAUCGUAAAACUCUGUUGUCAGGGAAGAACAAGUACCGGAGCAACUGCCGGUACCUUGACGGUACCUGACCAGAAAGCCACGGCUAACUACGUG